CCUACGGGGGGCAGCAGUGAGGAAUAUUGGGCAAUGGGGGCAACCCUGACCCAGCCAUGCCGCGUGAGUGAAGAAGGUCUUCGGAUGGUAAAGCUCGGUCGGACGGGACGAGGAGGACGGUAGCGUCGAAAGAAGCACCGGCAAACUUCGUGCCAGCAGCCGCGGUAAUACGAAGGGUGCGAGCGUUGUUCGGAAUUACUGGGCGUAAAGGGAGGGGAGGCGGUUAGGUAAGAUAGCGGUGAAAUGCCGGGGCUCAACCCCGGAACUGCCAUUAGGACUAUGUAUCUAGAGUAAUGGAGAGGUUAGCGGCAUCCCCCUUGUAGCGGUGACAUUCGUCGCUCUUGGGUAGCACCCCGGUGGCG
Molecule: ribosomal RNA, 362 nt
Filed under: uncultured bacterium
Lineage: Bacteria
Description: partial 16S ribosomal RNA
Rfam family: Bacterial small subunit ribosomal RNA
Source: RNAcentral